UACAGAGGGUGCGAGCGUUAAUCGGAUUUACUGGGCGUAAAGGGCGCGUAGGCGGUCAGAUGUGUAUGAUGUGAAAGCCCCGGGCUUAACCUGGGAAGUGCAUCGUAAACUAUCAGACUGGAGUAUAUGAGAGGGUGGUGGAAUUUCCGGUGUAGCGGUGAAAUGCGUAGAGAUCGGAAGGAACGUCAAUGGCGAAGGCAGCCACCUGGCAUAAUACUGACGCUGAGGCGCGAAGGCGUGGGGAGCGAACAGG
Molecule: ribosomal RNA, 253 nt
Filed under: uncultured bacterium
Lineage: Bacteria
Description: partial 16S ribosomal RNA
Rfam family: Bacterial small subunit ribosomal RNA
Source: RNAcentral